AACGAACGCUGGCGGCAUGCCUAACACAUGCAAGUCGAACGAGACCUUCGGGUCUAGUGGCGCACGGGUGCGUAACGCGUGGGAACCUGCCCUUAGGUUCGGAAUAACUCUCCGAAAGGGGUGCUAAUACCGGAUAAUGUCUUCGGACCAAAGAUUUAUCGCCUUUGGAUGGUCCCGCGUUGGAUUAGCUAGUUGGUAGGGUAAAAGCCUACCAAGGCGACGAUCCAUAGCUGGUCUGAGAGGAUGAUCCGCCACACUGGGACUGAGACACGGCCCAGACUCCUACGGGAGGCAGCAGUGGGGAAUAUUGGAAAAUGGGCGAAAGGCUGAUCCAGCAAUGCCGCGUGAGUGAUGAAGGCCUUAGGGUUGUAAAGCUCUUUUACCCGGGAUGAUAAUGACAGUACCGGGAGAAUAAGCUCCGGCUAACUCCGUG
Molecule: ribosomal RNA, 433 nt
Filed under: uncultured bacterium
Lineage: Bacteria
Description: partial 16S ribosomal RNA
Rfam family: Bacterial small subunit ribosomal RNA
Source: RNAcentral